RNAcentral lists this unclassified non-coding RNA (322 nucleotides) under Hevea brasiliensis (rubber tree). Lineage: Eukaryota; Viridiplantae; Streptophyta; Magnoliopsida; Malpighiales; Euphorbiaceae. The record is from RNAcentral.
AAACUGGUGAUAUAUUUAACUAUGAAAUUGAUGCAGCAUUCAUGAAAGAAAUAGCAGAAACAUUUUUUUCAUUUUAGACACUAGCAUAACAGUUCGCUAGACUGCUCCUCGAAGCACAAGUCGGCCAGACCAAUCAAGGCCUCAGCUGCCUUCCCAUCCCCGAAACCUCUCAGCGCUGAUCCCACCCGAACCCUAAACUCCUCUGCCUCAUCCUUUUCUCUGGCCCUAUGCAUCAUCCCUACAUACAUUCCGCACCUCCGAAGCACCUCGACCGCCUCAUCGCUCCCGCCACCCAGUAUCGCCCCGCAAGCUGCCCCACACG